RNAcentral lists this ribosomal RNA (422 nucleotides) under uncultured bacterium. RNAcentral describes it as "partial 16S ribosomal RNA". It matches the Rfam family "Bacterial small subunit ribosomal RNA", at positions 360 to 774 of the family's 1533-position model. The record is from RNAcentral.
AAUCUUGGACAAUGGGCGAAAGCCUGAUCCACCCAUGCCGCGUGUGUGAAGAAGGUAUUCGGAUUGUAUAGCACUUUAAGUUGGGAGGAUGGGCAGUAAGUUAAUACCUUGCUGUUUUGACGUUACCCACAGAAUAAGCACCGGCUAACUUCGUGCCAGCAGCCGCGGUAAUACGAAGGGUGCAAGCGUUAAUCGGAAUUACUGGGCGUAAAGCGAGCGUAGGUGGUUUGUUAAGUUGGAAGUGAAAGCCCCGGGCUCAACCUGGGAACUGCUUUCAAAACUGGCAGGCUAGAGGAUGGCAGAGGGUGGUGGAAUUUCCUGUGUAGCGGUGAAAUGCGUAGAUAUAGGAAGGAACACCAGUGGCGAAGGCGACCACCUGGGCUAAUACUGACACUGAGGUGCGAAAGCGUGGGGAGCAAACA